GCAGGAUUAGUUCAAUGGUAGAACGCAACCUUGCCAAGGUUGACACGCGGGUUCGAUUCCCGUAUCUUGCU
RNAcentral lists this transfer RNA (71 nucleotides) under Candidatus Scatoplasma merdavium. RNAcentral describes it as "tRNA-Gly". It matches the Rfam family "tRNA". Rfam says of the family: Transfer RNA (tRNA) molecules are approximately 80 nucleotides in length. Their secondary structure includes four short double-helical elements and three loops (D, anti-codon, and T loops). Further hydrogen bonds mediate the characteristic L-shaped molecular structure. tRNAs have two regions of fundamental functional importance: the anti-codon, which is responsible for specific mRNA codon recognition, and the 3' end, to which the tRNAs corresponding amino acid is attached (by aminoacyl-tRNA synthetases). tRNAs cope with the degeneracy of the genetic code in two manners: having more than one tRNA (with a specific anti-codon) for a particular amino acid; and 'wobble' base-pairing, i.e. permitting non-standard base-pairing at the 3rd anti-codon position. Lineage: Bacteria; Bacillati; Bacillota; Bacilli; Caryophanales. The record is from RNAcentral.